Molecule: ribosomal RNA, 430 nt
Filed under: uncultured bacterium
Lineage: Bacteria
Description: bacterial SSU rRNA
Rfam family: Bacterial small subunit ribosomal RNA
Source: RNAcentral
UCAGGCCUAACACAUGCAAGUCGAGGGGUAGAAGGAGCUUGCUCCUUUGAGACCGGCGCACGGGUGCGUAACGCGUAUGCAAUCUACCUUUUACAGAGGGAUAGCCCAGAGAAAUUUGGAUUAAUACCUCAUAGUAUAUAACCUUCGCAUGUUGGUUAUAUUAAAGUUCCAACGGUAAAAGAUGAGCAUGCGUCCUAUUAGCUAGUUGGUGUGGUAACGGCACACCAAGGCAACGAUAGGUAGGGGUCCUGAGAGGGAGAUCCCCCACACUGGUACUGAGACACGGACCAGACUCCUACGGGAGGCAGCAGUGAGGAAUAUUGGACAAUGGGCGCAAGCCUGAUACGGCCAUGCCGCGUGCAGGAAGACGGUCCUAUGGAUUAAAGGUGCUUUUGUACGGGAAGAAACACUCCUACGUGUAGGAGCUGAC